AUGAUGCAUAGCCGAGUUGAGAGACUGAUCGGCCACAUUGGGACCGAGACACGGCCCAAACUCCUACGGGAGGCAGCAGUAGGGAAUCUUCCACAAUGGACGCAAGUCUGAUGGAGCAACGCCGCGUGAGUGAAGAAGGGUUUCGGCUCGUAAAGCUCUGUUGGUAGUGAAGAAAGAUAGAGGUAGUAACUGGCCUUUAUUUGACGGUAAUUACCUAGAAAGUCACGGCUAACUACGUGCCAGCAGCCGCGGUAAUACGUAGGUGGCAAGCGUUGUCCGGAUUUAUUGGGCGUAAAGCGAGUGCAGGCGGUUCAAUAAGUCUGAUGUGAAAGCCUUCGGCUCAACCGGAGAAUUGCAUCAGAAACUGUUGAACUUGAGUGCAGAAGAGGAGAGUGGAACUCCAUGUGUAGCGGUGGAAUGCGUAGAUAUAUGGAAGAACACCAGUGGCGAAGGCGGCUCUCUGGUCUGCAACUGACGCUGAGGCUCGAAAGCAUGGGUAGCGAACAGGAUUAGAUACCCUGGUAGUCCAUGCCGUAAACGAUGAGUGCUAAGUGUUGGGAGGUUUCCGCCUCUCA
This 575-nucleotide ribosomal RNA is filed under the name uncultured bacterium. RNAcentral describes it as "bacterial SSU rRNA". It matches the Rfam family "Bacterial small subunit ribosomal RNA", at positions 276 to 842 of the family's 1533-position model. The record is from RNAcentral.